This is a long non-coding RNA of Vicia villosa (hairy vetch), 2422 nucleotides long. RefSeq lists it as uncharacterized. The record is from RefSeq and is a predicted model, not a curated record. NCBI's taxonomy places the organism in Eukaryota, Viridiplantae, Streptophyta, Magnoliopsida, Fabales, Fabaceae. The transcript is spliced from 4 exons.
CCACUAAGUCACCACAUUCCAUUGUUAUUUUAUAGAAACAAAAAUUAUUUAUACUUAUUAAUAUUAUAUUAGUAUCUUAAACUAAUUGUUCUUAUUCUACACCGUAGUAGUAAUUGCAGCUCAUGACUCACUUCAAACAAAAUUGAAACCCUAAACCCUCUUCACUGUUACGGAGCCGCUCCACCCAUUGCGACACCAAAUCGAUCAAAGGGAAACCAUUUUUUACUCUCCAAUUCAAGAGAUUCCUUUUCAUUCGGGAAGGAGAUAGUGACAUUGAAGGCGGCGGAGAUGACGGCUUUCGUUCUCCGAUUGGCCGUAAGUAUCGUUCCGUGUUGGCUAACGAUCAUGCUCUACUUGAGAUGUCUUCCAUAUAUCCACUAUCUUCUUCUUCCUCAACAUUUCCAGAUCAACCUCAUAAUCUCAGGAGCUUCGGAAGCAGGUUUUCUUUUAUCACGUUACGUUCUGCAAUUGUGUUGCGGCUCUGUGCUGUGUUGCAAUUGUAUUGGAUCAACUAUUCGUUCCUGUUUGGUAUUAGACAUGGAACUGAGUUGGAUCAUUGAGAAGUAUUCCUUCUCACAACUGGCCAUGCAGUGAUUGCAGUUCUAGGUUUCUUGGUAAAUUGCAGCUUGAGAUGAAUCUUACUGAUAAAAGCUAUAAAACAGCCAUUGAACUUGUUCCUCUGAGCUUAUUUGUUGUAAGAUUCAUAGUUUGGAAUAUAAUUAGCUCAUUAUUUCUGAUGGACUGAACUUACCUAACUUAUCAUUUAUUUUUCAUUUGUAGCUUGUCAUUUAGAUCACCUUUUGCCCUUUCAAUGUUUGCAAAAUAAGUUUGGAAUAUAUUUUCCGUGGUUUGUUUUUAGUUGUGGGGUUUCUGUGUUGCAGAUUGAGAAUUACAAUAACCCGUUUCUUGAUGUUAUGUCCAAAUAUGAUGAUGGGAGGGACCUAUCUGAUUAUGACUUCAACAAAGAUGAACUAGGCCCCCCACAUGAUGAUGUCGACGAAAGAAAACUUGCAUAUAGGUAUCAAGUUAUAGCUCAAAAAUACUUGCAGGAACAUGAGGAUCCUUAAACUACAAGGAUGGGAAAUGCAGUUUCUAUCUAAAAUAAUCGAGCUCAGGGACGCAAAACAAGGAACAGCGCGCUCUUUACCAAUAUGAUGAUAUCUAUUUAUUUGAUGAUCCUUUUAGUGGUGUGGAUGCUCAUACAGGAUCUCACCUUUUUAAGGUCAAGAAAGAUGGAAAAAUAACUCUAAGUGGAAAGUAUGCUGACAUACUUAACAUUGGAUGGCACUAGAAAACCUGUUGUUGAUUUAAGUAUUGUUGGAUAUGUUGUUUCAUUUAGUUCAUAAUUCAUACAUUGGUGUCCUAAUGUUAUUCUACUUCUUUAACUAUUUGCUUACCGAGUUAUGGUUGAUGGUUAUGUGGACAGCAGGUUGCAGGUUGCAUAUAUAGUUGUAGCUUUUCUACUUCUGUUUUCUUUAGAAAUUUUGAGCUUUUAUGUGACCACAAAAGUAACGAAAUAGCAAGAAAUACUACUCGGCCAUUGAUUGAAUGGUUUUCAUAUCCUCAGGCUUGUCUCUAAAAAUGGAGAAAUUUGAAUGAUUUUCUAUAAGUUAAAAAUAGUUUAUAAACAUCUCAUAUAAUGGAGGAUAUCUUUUUUUGUUGUGUCGGUGUAAUUUUUUACACUCUUAGCAUAGCACAAUGAAACCCUCAAAUCUCGGAACCAUUUCCAAGACUUUGGUUUCAUUAUCAAAGAAACCCUCAAGUCUUUCAAGUGACUCUCAAGAGGUUGAUAUUUUGAGAAGUCAAGUCCAUGCUUUAAAUGGAUCGUUGUACUUUUUUUCCUUUUGACUUGGUUGUAAUUUAGAUUGUUUUAUCAUUUUAAUUUGGUUGACAAAUGAUUAGUAGGAGCUUUGUUUAUUGAGUCAUUUUUAGUAACGUGACUAUGUAAGUACUUGUUACUUACAUUGUAGUAGAUUUUAUAGUAACUUAUUGUUCAAUGAAUUUGUCUUAUUUAAAUUCAAAUCAUUUUAAUUUAUAAUUUUAUUUUUAUAUUAUGGUUAUUUUAAUAUAUAAUUUAUAAUGUUCUAAAAAUUUAUCAAACUUUUUUUUAAUUUGAGAUAGAAAUUACCUGCGGAUUUACCUGCUGAUUGUUUCCUACGGAGUUAACUGCGGAACUUCCUGCCAAAAAUAUUACCCACGAAGGUUUUAUAACGUGUUUUUUGCAGAAAUUUUACUAAAAUCCGCAGGAAAACAGAGUAUUUCUAGUAGUGGUUCAACUUAUUAAGAAAUGGAGACAUCUUCUCUAUUCAUCAUAAAAAGUUAGGUAGUAUAUCUUGAACCAAUCACAAGAUUCCAUUUAAUUUUAACACAUUUAAUUAAUUAUAAAUAAUAUAAUUAUUUAAUGUUUCUAAGACAUUUUACA